GUGUUUCUUCCAGCAGCACACAUAUUGAAAUUGAAAUGAUAUAGAGAAUUAUUUGCAUGGUCCCUCUACAAGGAAUGUAUAUUUAUAAAACUGUCUUCAUAUUU
Small nuclear RNA from Mustela putorius furo (domestic ferret), 104 nucleotides. The record is from Ensembl. Lineage: Eukaryota; Metazoa; Chordata; Mammalia; Carnivora; Mustelidae.